UCGACAUCUCAUAAUCAGUGAAAACGAGUAGGGCGGGACACGUGAUAUCCUGUCUGAAUAUGGGGGGACCAUCCUCCAAGGCUAAAUACUACUGACUGACCGAUAGUGAACCAGUACCGUGAGGGAAAGGCGAAAAGAACCCCUGUGAGGGGAGUGAAAUAGAACCUGAAACCGUGUACGUACAAGCAGUAGGAGCACCUUCGUGGUGUGACUGCGUACCUUUUGUAUAAUGGGUCAGCGACUUAAUUUUAGUAGCAAGGUUAACCGUUUAGGGGAGCCGUAGGGAAACCGAGUCUUAACUGGGCGUACAGUUGCUAGGAUUAGACCCGAAACCAGGUGAUCUAGCCAUGGGCAGGUUGAAGGUUGAGUAACAUCAACUGGAGGACCGAACCGACUAAUGUUGAAAAAUUAGCGGAUGACUUGUGGCUAGGGGUGAAAGGCCAAUCAAACCUGGAGAUAGCUGGUUCUCCCCGAAAGCUAUUUAGGUAGCGCCUCGGACGAAUACUACUGGGGGUAGAGCACUGUUAAGGCUAGGGGGUCAUCCCGACUUACCAACCCUUUGCAAACUCCGAAUACCAGUAAGUACUAUCCGGGAGACACACGGCGGGUGCUAACGUCCGUCGUGGAGAGGGAAACAACCCAGACCGCCAGCUAAGGUCCCAAAGUAUAGCUAAGUGGGAAACGAUGUGGGAAGGCUCAGACAGCCAGGAUGUUGGCUUAGAAGCAGCCAUCAUUUAAAGAAAGCGUAAUAGCUCACUGGUCGAGUCGGCCUGCGCGGAAGAUGUAACGGGGCUAAGCUAUACACCGAAGCUGCGGCUACGUACCUUA
Molecule: ribosomal RNA, 828 nt
Filed under: Vibrio splendidus
Lineage: Bacteria; Pseudomonadati; Pseudomonadota; Gammaproteobacteria; Vibrionales; Vibrionaceae
Description: partial 23S ribosomal RNA
Rfam family: Bacterial large subunit ribosomal RNA
Source: RNAcentral